RNAcentral lists this ribosomal RNA (2902 nucleotides) under Escherichia coli. RNAcentral's name for it is "bacterial LSU rRNA". It matches the Rfam family "Bacterial large subunit ribosomal RNA". Lineage: Bacteria; Pseudomonadati; Pseudomonadota; Gammaproteobacteria; Enterobacterales; Enterobacteriaceae. The record is from RNAcentral.
UUAAGCGACUAAGCGUACACGGUGGAUGCCCUGGCAGUCAGAGGCGAUGAAGGACGUGCUAAUCUGCGAUAAGCGUCGGUGAGGUGAUAUGAACCGUUAUAACCGGCGAUUUCCGAAUGGGGAAACCCAGUGUGUUUCGACACACUAUCAUUAACUGAAUCCAUAGGUUAAUGAGGCGAACCGGGGGAACUGAAACAUCUAAGUACCCCGAGGAAAAGAAAUCAACCGAGAUUCCCCCAGUAGCGGCGAGCGAACGGGGAGGAGCCCAGAGCCUGAAUCAGUGUGUGUGUUAGUGGAAGCGUCUGGAAAGGCGCGCGAUACAGGGUGACAGCCCCGUACACAAAAAUGCACAUAUUGUGAGCUCGAUGAGUAGGGCGGGACACGUGGUAUCCUGUCUGAAUAUGGGGGGACCAUCCUCCAAGGCUAAAUACUCCUGACUGACCGAUAGUGAACCAGUACCGUGAGGGAAAGGCGAAAAGAACCCCGGCGAGGGGAGUGAAAAAGAACCUGAAACCGUGUACGUACAAGCAGUGGGAGCCUCUUAAUGGGGUGACUGCGUACCUUUUGUAUAAUGGGUCAGCGACUUAUAUUCUGUAGCAAGGUUAACCGAAUAGGGGAGCCGAAGGGAAACCGAGUCUUAACUGGGCGUUAAGUUGCAGGGUAUAGACCCGAAACCCGGUGAUCUAGCCAUGGGCAGGUUGAAGGUUGGGUAACACUAACUGGAGGACCGAACCGACUAAUGUUGAAAAAUUAGCGGAUGACUUGUGGCUGGGGGUGAAAGGCCAAUCAAACCGGGAGAUAGCUGGUUCUCCCCGAAAGCUAUUUAGGUAGCGCCUCGUGAAUUCAUCUCCGGGGGUAGAGCACUGUUUCGGCAAGGGGGUCAUCCCGACUUACCAACCCGAUGCAAACUGCGAAUACCGGAGAAUGUUAUCACGGGAGACACACGGCGGGUGCUAACGUCCGUCGUGAAGAGGGAAACAACCCAGACCGCCAGCUAAGGUCCCAAAGUCAUGGUUAAGUGGGAAACGAUGUGGGAAGGCCCAGACAGCCAGGAUGUUGGCUUAGAAGCAGCCAUCAUUUAAAGAAAGCGUAAUAGCUCACUGGUCGAGUCGGCCUGCGCGGAAGAUGUAACGGGGCUAAACCAUGCACCGAAGCUGCGGCAGCGACACUAUGUGUUGUUGGGUAGGGGAGCGUUCUGUAAGCCUGUGAAGGUGGCCUGUGAGGGUUGCUGGAGGUAUCAGAAGUGCGAAUGCUGACAUAAGUAACGAUAAAGCGGGUGAAAAGCCCGCUCGCCGGAAGACCAAGGGUUCCUGUCCAACGUUAAUCGGGGCAGGGUGAGUCGACCCCUAAGGCGAGGCCGAAAGGCGUAGUCGAUGGGAAACAGGUUAAUAUUCCUGUACUUGGUGUUACUGCGAAGGGGGGACGGAGAAGGCUAUGUUGGCCGGGCGACGGUUGUCCCGGUUUAAGCGUGUAGGCUGGUUUUCCAGGCAAAUCCGGAAAACCAAGGCUGAGGCGUGAUGACGAAGCACUACGGUGCUGAAGCGACAAAUGCCCUGCUUCCAGGAAAAGCCUCUAAGCAUCAGGUAACAUCAAAUCGUACCCCAAACCGACACAGGUGGUCAGGUAGAGAAUACCAAGGCGCUUGAGAGAACUCGGGUGAAGGAACUAGGCAAAAUGGUGCCGUAACUUCGGGAGAAGGCACGCUGAUAUGUAGGUGAAGCGACUUGCUCGUGGAGCUGAAAUCAGUCGAAGAUACCAGCUGGCUGCAACUGUUUAUUAAAAACACAGCACUGUGCAAACACGAAAGUGGACGUAUACGGUGUGACGCCUGCCCGGUGCCGGAAGGUUAAUUGAUGGGGUUAGCGGCAACGCGAAGCUCUUGAUCGAAGCCCCGGUAAACGGCGGCCGUAACUAUAACGGUCCUAAGGUAGCGAAAUUCCUUGUCGGGUAAGUUCCGACCUGCACGAAUGGCGUAAUGAUGGCCAGGCUGUCUCCACCCGAGACUCAGUGAAAUUGAACUCGCUGUGAAGAUGCAGUGUACCCGCGGCAAGACGGAAAGACCCCGUGAACCUUUACUAUAGCUUGACACUGAACAUUGAGCCUUGAUGUGUAGGAUAGGUGGGAGGCUUUGAAGUGUGGACGCCAGUCUGCAUGGAGCCGACCUUGAAAUACCACCCUUUAAUGUUUGAUGUUCUAACGUGGGCCCCUAAUCGGGGUUGCGGACAGUGUCUGGUGGGUAGUUUGACUGGGGCGGUCUCCUCCUAAAGAGUAACGGAGGAGCACGAAGGUUGGCUAAUCCUGGUCGGACAUCAGGAGGUUAGUGCAAUGGCAUAAGCCAGCUUGACUGCGAGCGUGACGGCGCGAGCAGGUGCGAAAGCAGGUCAUAGUGAUCCGGUGGUUCUGAAUGGAAGGGCCAUCGCUCAACGGAUAAAAGGUACUCCGGGGAUAACAGGCUGAUACCGCCCAAGAGUUCAUAUCGACGGCGGUGUUUGGCACCUCGAUGUCGGCUCAUCACAUCCUGGGGCUGAAGUAGGUCCCAAGGGUAUGGCUGUUCGCCAUUUAAAGUGGUACGCGAGCUGGGUUUAGAACGUCGUGAGACAGUUCGGUCCCUAUCUGCCGUGGGCGCUGGAGAACUGAGGGGGGCUGCUCCUAGUACGAGAGGACCGGAGUGGACGCAUCACUGGUGUUCGGGUUGUCAUGCCAAUGGCACUGCCCGGUAGCUAAAUGCGGAAGAGAUAAGUGCUGAAAGCAUCUAAGCACGAAACUUGCCCCGAGAUGAGUUCUCCCUGAGACUUAGAGUCUCCUGAAGGAACGUUGAAGACGACGACGUUGAUAGGCCGGGUGUGUAAGCGCAGCGAUGCGUUGAGCUAACCGGUACUAAUGAACCGUGAGGCUUAACCUU